CGUAAAAAUACGGUAACUCCCUUGAAAGUAGUCGUGUGUCGUUCUAGUCGUUGUUACUACGUAUAUUUAUACAGGGUAAGGUUUGAUGUAGUGGCUGAUGUUGGGAUCGCGUGCCAUUACUGUCGUACCAGUCUGCACCUAUCCCAUCGUUAAGGCGUACUCCGCCAUGUCAUUAACGUAAUCACUCCCUGUCACUUUGGGAACUCGAUAGAACACUCAAUAUUUUAAGUAGUCAAAACUUACUUUUCGUCUUACUUUCGACGUGAUCGCUCGUGAAUUUUCAUUUGCAUUUGCUUUAAAAAAUACACGAUAAAUCGUUUUACGGUCCCAGAUGUAUACACGUAUCAAUGUAUCGCGCGUUUAGGAACACUCAAUGUAUGUUUGAAAAAUGCGCGAACUGCAGAGACGCCAUUGAAUAAUUGUGCAUUCGUCAGGACGCCACGCUACCGAGUGAUGUGAAAAACAGGAAGGUGAUUAAUCGAGGCAAGAAUUUCUACAAAAACGUAUACGUCUCUGGUCCUUCUGAUGCACAGAUGCUAAAUAUGUACGUCGUUUUGAAUUUACGUUGCGUAUAUCAACCUCGACUUGUCUUCGAAGGAUUUGAGAUUCUAAAGCAUUCGCGGACUGCAGUGGUGAAUGUAAAGUGUAUGGCUGAAAAGUAUGAUGGGAUUUCCGCUUUCUAGAAAAUGCAGACGAAGCUCCAUAAUGAUGCAGCACGAGGGACUGCUUUUAUGCCAAUACUUCAAAGUGCCAUAACCUACGUGGUGGUAUCGUACGAGGCAAAAGUUACGUGAACCAGAAUCUUCAUUAUCAUCUUCAGGUGUCUUCUUAUGAAACAAGAAUGCAGACAUCAUUAGUGCAAUCUCGAGAUAUACGUCAGAGAUGUUCGACUGGGUGAGGCCCGUUCCUUUUUUUCUACGCGCGAUUUUCAAAGGAGAAGAGGAAUAUUCACGGAAUAUGCACGAUACGUAAAGG
This is a long non-coding RNA of Frieseomelitta varia, 975 nucleotides long. RefSeq lists it as uncharacterized. The transcript has 4 exons. The record is from RefSeq and is a predicted model, not a curated record. Lineage: Eukaryota; Metazoa; Arthropoda; Insecta; Hymenoptera; Apidae.